Molecule: ribosomal RNA, 427 nt
Filed under: uncultured bacterium
Lineage: Bacteria
Description: bacterial SSU rRNA
Rfam family: Bacterial small subunit ribosomal RNA
Source: RNAcentral
UAGGGAAUAUUGCACAAUGGAGGAAACUCUGAUGCAGCGACGCCGCGUGAGUGAUGAAGGACUUCGGUUUGUAAAGCUCUGUUCUCAGGGAAUAAAAAAAUGAAUGUACCUGAGGAGAAAGCACCGGCUAACUUCGUGCCAGCAGCCGCGGUAAUACGAAGGGUGCAAGCGUUGCUCGGAAUCAUUGGGCGUAAAGCGAGCGCAGGUGGUCUUGUAAGUCGGGAGUGAAAUCCCAGGGCUCAACCCUGGAAGUGCUUUCGAUACUGCGAGACUUGAAUGUGGGAGAGGGUACUAGAAUACAUAGUGUAGUGGUGAAAUACGUAGAUAUUAUGUGGAACACCGGUGGCGAAGGCGGGUGCCUGGCCCAACAUUGACACUUAGGCUCGAAAGCGUGGGGAUCAAACAGGAUUAGAUACCCCCGUAGUCC